UGCCAGGCUCAGCCCAGGAGCCAUCAGCCCACCUUAGGCCCACUUGCACAAACCCAGAGGAGCACAGGGGCACAGUGGCAGGUUCCAGUAGCUGAGGAAGCUGAGAUCAAGGGAUAGCUACUUGUCAUACUGUCUGAAACCAGCCACUGACACACAGAAACACACAGGAUGUUGCAGAGCCAAUAGCAGAAGUUGACUGGAAAAAGGAACUAUCAUUUGUCAGGAGGGUAGCUCCAAGGAAAGCUGCAGAAGAAGAUGCACUGCAUGUUACUUCAGAGGCAGGAAAUCCCUCUGUUCCCAAUGGUCAAAGGACAGGGCAGCAGAAGGCGGCAAAAUGGAGCAGCAUCCACCCCUGACUUGGAGCACCCAUGAUUAAGACCUCUGUAAGACUUGCUUCCCCUCCACAGCCUUUCUUAUGGGAUCCCUUCUGCAGUUAUAUUUAACUCAGGCUGUAACAAAAGGAUGCUGGCACAGGUCCUUUACUACUGAGAAAUAACCCAGGAGUGGGAAUAUAACUCACCAUCUUCAGAGGGGCUGUUUUUAUGUACUGUAGCAAUUUCAUUACUGUGACAGUUAGUCAAUGCAAUAGAGCCCUUGUGUAAAUGAGCAGGAGAUCUUUUUCCUUUAUAAAUUAACACUAAAGUAUUUCUCUUCAUUUAGGGAUGAAUGAACUUGACCCACCUCAAGCUCUUUGUGCACUGAGUUUUUUGGGACAUGAGUUCCAAUCCAGUUCUGAGUAC
Molecule: long non-coding RNA, 740 nt
Organism: Vidua chalybeata
Lineage: Eukaryota; Metazoa; Chordata; Aves; Passeriformes; Viduidae
Exons: 3
Source: RefSeq, a predicted model, not a curated record